Arachis duranensis is the source of this 1267-nucleotide RNA transcript. RefSeq lists it as uncharacterized. The transcript has 5 exons. The record is from RefSeq and is a predicted model, not a curated record. Lineage: Eukaryota; Viridiplantae; Streptophyta; Magnoliopsida; Fabales; Fabaceae.
AUGAGUGUUGUGGAUCAAUAAAGAAUUUAAGAUGGGUUGGAGAGUGUUAUGCUUAUGCAUGUUUCUUGGGGCAUUAUUUAUGUUAUUCAAUGCCCAAAAUGCAUUUGUUAGUUGUGCUCUGACUUCUCAAUUGCAAGAAGAAAUCACAAGAAUCAACGGAGAAGGGCCUUAUAUAGGUUUGGUCAUACCAAAUUCUUUUGAACUCAAUCCUCUUCUUCAAAAUCCAGCCUACACUCCGAGUGAAAAUAUUAUUGACUUUGCAGGAAGGAGAUUCCGCUUUGGAUCCAUUGGCGAUAAGCCUGUUAUAUUGGUCAUGACUGGAUUGAGUACAUGUUUGGGCAUAAAUGCAGCAAUUACUACACAGCUUCUUUUAAGCAUUUUCAACAUAGAAGGAGUAAUGCAUUACGGCAUUGCUGGAAAUGCAAACCCAUCCUUGAAUAUUGGAGAUGUUGCAAUUCCUCAAUUUUGGGCUCAUUUGAUUUUAAUUUUAUAAUUAUAUUUUUUUACUAGAUAUGGAGAAGGGCCUAGUAAUACAUUACCCUUGGAACAAAAUGGAGACUACACAAGAAACGUAGGGUACCUAAAAUUUGGAGAUUUCAUGUCAAAUGUAAGUUGGGGAGAUUCAUUUGAUAACCUUCUAAACAGAAUAUGGUACCAACCAGAAGAGGUAUUUCCAGUUGAUGGAAUUCCAGAACAAAGGCAACACGCUCUCUGGGUUCCUGUUGAUUAUAAUUACUACCAAAUUGCUACCAGGCUGAAGAAGUUGAAACUUGAUGCAUGCAUAAACUCAACAACAUGCUUGUCCACAACACCAAAAGUGGAAAUGGUUGAAAGAGGAGCAAGUGCAAGCAUAUACAUAGACAAUGCAGCAUAUAGAAGCUUCAUCUACAAGAAGUUCCAUGUCACCCCGGUGGAGAUGGAAAGUGCAUCGGUGGCACUCAUUUGCCUCCAACAAAGGGUCCCUUUCAUUGUCAUUAGGGCUCUCUCCGACCUGGCCGGCGGCGGCUCCUCCGACUCCAAUGAGGCCGACAUAUUUGCGCCGCUUGCUGCCACCAAUUCGGUUAAGGUCGUUAUUGAGUUUAUCAAGCUUUUGCCAUCAAAAAGCCCUAAGUGGUCGCCCAUGUAACAAUAAUAAUGUUUGUUUGUUUUUCUAGGGUUUUAAUAUUAUUAUUCCAUGCAUUCCUGAUGCAAAAAACAUGUGGACCUUAUAUCUCCUUUAAAUUGAGAAUAAGCAUCUUAGUGAAACCUGAAAAUAAUAUCUUAUCUA